Molecule: ribosomal RNA, 435 nt
Filed under: Babesia vesperuginis
Lineage: Eukaryota; Apicomplexa; Aconoidasida; Piroplasmida; Babesiidae
Description: bacterial SSU rRNA
Rfam family: Eukaryotic small subunit ribosomal RNA
Source: RNAcentral
AUUACCCAAUCCUGACACAGGGAGGUAGUGACAAGAAAUAACAAUACGGGGCUUAAGUCUUGUAAUUGGAAUGAUGGGAAUCUAAACCCCUUCCAGAGUAUCAAUUGGAGGGCAAGUCUGGUGCCAGCAGCCGCGGUAAUUCCAGCUCCAAUAGCGUAUAUUAAACUUGUUGCAGUUAAAAAGCUCGUAGUUGAACUUCUGCUGUCAGGUUUUCGUUCCUUUCGGGGUUUCGUCAACCUGGUGGCUUUUUUCUGGGUGAAUUUAGCUUCGGCUUAAUUUCCCAGUAUUUUACUUUGAGAAAAUUAGAGUGCUUCAAGCAGGCUUUUGCCGUGAAUACUUCAGCAUGGAAUAAUAAAGUAGGACUUUGGUUCUAUUUUGUUGGUUUCUGAACCAAAGUAAUGGUUAAUAGGAACAGUUGGGGGCAUUCGUAUUUAA